Molecule: non-coding RNA, 524 nt
Organism: Peromyscus maniculatus bairdii (prairie deer mouse)
Lineage: Eukaryota; Metazoa; Chordata; Mammalia; Rodentia; Cricetidae
Source: RefSeq, a predicted model, not a curated record
GGUCUAGUCCAUUGUCAGGGAUGCAUGUAGGCAGACGUGGUGCUGGAGAAGCAGCUGUGAGCUCUACAUCCAGAUUUUCAGGCAGUAGGAAGAGAGUGAAACACUGAGCCUGGCUUGGGCUUUUGAAAACCUCAAAGCCCACUUCCAAUGACACACUUCAUCCAACAAAGCCACGCCUCCUAAUCCUUUGCAAGUAGUGUUACUCCCUAGUAACCAAGCAUCAAAUCUAUGAGUCCAUGGGGUGCAUCUGCAUUAAAACCAUCACAGGAAACAAAGUUUAUUAAGUAUUUAGACAGAGUGUCACAUAGGAAAGGGGCAGUAGAAUCCCAAAACCUGGGUAUGAGUUUCAUGAGACAUCUCCCUGAGAGGCUUUAUAAUGGCUGCAUACAUGAUUUUGUGGCUUUCUCAGUUGCAUCCCUCAAGGGAUGUAAUUUGGCAGUCUUAAAGCAAAGUGGAAACUUUAAGUUGAAAAAUAAGUACGAUAUGUGAGCUGGUUUAUUUUCCUUUAAUUGAAAAAUUUAAAA